This 30-nucleotide non-coding RNA is filed under the name Rattus norvegicus (Norway rat). The record is from RNAcentral. Lineage: Eukaryota; Metazoa; Chordata; Mammalia; Rodentia; Muridae.
UCACUUAAAAAACCCCUAAAUCUUGUGUCU